AUGCGAAGUCAUGAAUCCCUUUCCGUUUGUUCUAUUAUAACUAUAGCCUACAGGCACGUAAACCCAUCAGAUGGCAGUGUUGCCUCGCAGUCCACCACAAUUGCUGAUGAGUUUUCUGAGGUACCAGGAGCAAUGUGGAGACUGGGAAAAACAGGGUUUGCUUGGUCAACCAACAGCAGACCACCAGAUGGCCAGCACAGAAAACAACAGCCCAUCAUAGCAGGGCUGCUCUGUAGUGACCGCCGUCCUGCUGAUCGCGGCGGAGAGAAGAGCAAGAUCCCAACAAGUUUAGGAAGCGUCAGUGACAGCGCAUUGUCUUCCAACAAUACUGCGCAGACAGUGGGCAAAGAGAUGCAGGAGAGCAGAGGGGACGAGGGACAAUGGUGAGGAAGAGACACGCAUGAACAGUUGCUGCUUCUUUUAUGUCGCCCGUCUAGACAGCAAUGUUCCACACCGAAAGACUUUUUUUUUUUUUUUUUGCAAAACAAAUGAAAGCGUGAGGUGUGAAAGUGAUCUGCUCUGAGGAGCUGAGAAACUGUAGAGCAGAUACAAAAAACAUUGAAUUAAAAUAUGAUUCCUUUAGAUGAAACAUUUGAAGAGGUCAGAUGCAAAAACAUCUAAACUUUUCUUUUUACUCAGGCUCUUGUGAGUACAGUAGAUUCAGUCAUUUUAAUUUCAUGUCGAUGAAUGGGGUAUUUUCAUUGCCUUUAAUGUGAAAUACCUUAAAGUAAACAUAAGAGACUGAGAAAAUGCUUGUUUUUAAGGGAAAUUCCAGAUGCCAUUUAGAGGUUUUUGCAUCAGAACUCUUCAUUUGUCUAAGAUAAAUUGAGUUUUUAAAAUAAAAGUACUAGGAUUUAAAUAUAGCUUCAGUCUUUAUUCUCUCUUGAUAUCCUGAUUUCAUUCUCAAAAAAGUUUCUUGUUAUUAUCAGUUAUCAGAAAUAAUUGUAUGUUGAAAUGUGGUAUGUCUAGUAUUUGAGGGGAUGAAUGAAUAAGCAGUACUCAUACCUAAACCAUAAGCACUGUCAAGUCCAAAAGCUGUUUUGCUUACAUAUAGCCUACCUUGCAUGCACUACAUAACAUUUACACCCCAAACGUUUCAUAGAUCCUCCUGAGACCCCCCAUUGGCUUGUUUACUCUGUAGUGGACAUUGCGUUUUCAUGAUUUUUUUUUAUAGCUACUCUGUUAAGUCCAGUUGGACUGUUCAGAGGACAUCCUGGGCUUUCUAGUGAUGUGUCAUUUGAUUGGCUGGCAUGCUAGGAACCACUUCUUACACUGCAUCCAAAAUGGCCGACAUACAAAAAAAAGCACAUUUUAUGGGAAGGAGAGGCAUGUAAAAUUGAGUUUUUUAAAUGUUUUUUUUUUACUAUUAUUAUUACAUAUAUAUUUGUUUAUAUUAAAGUGUCUGGAACAAUACAUUUAGCUUUCAAAGCUGUUAAAUUGUUUGUGUUUCAAAAUAUCAUCCUUUUUUAAAUGUCCACUAUAGUGGACACAGGACCAUCUUAAUGUAAUUAAUGACUGUAUGUUGUAGGAGGCAGAACUGAAGCAGAGAGGACUCUUUAUGAGAUAGUUGAGGGAGACUCUGAUUUAGAGUCUGACAAUUAGAGAAUUAGAGACAAUUGGAGAAUGACGAUCAUUUUUAAAUUGCUUUUAUGUUAAAUUUGUUUUGGAUUAACAUCACUUUUUUGUGUGUGUGUUUUUUUGAGUUCGGCUCUCUUUCAGACUAAACUGUUUCAGAAAUUUCAAUACAAAAGGGAAAAAAAGGCUUUUGUUUUGUUUUUGUUACAUUAAUAUUGGAAUAAUAUCCA
Long non-coding RNA from Danio rerio (zebrafish), 1805 nucleotides. NCBI's taxonomy places the organism in Eukaryota, Metazoa, Chordata, Actinopteri, Cypriniformes, Danionidae. The record is from Ensembl.